RNAcentral lists this non-coding RNA (21 nucleotides) under Citrus sinensis (sweet orange). Its record names the gene csi-miR166e-3p. RNAcentral also lists the same sequence under 55 other names. Lineage: Eukaryota; Viridiplantae; Streptophyta; Magnoliopsida; Sapindales; Rutaceae. The record is from miRBase by way of RNAcentral.
UCGGACCAGGCUUCAUUCCCC